CAAUCUUGAUGGAAACCAUUACUUCCGCCAAAGGAGAAUUUUCACAACGAAUCAUCAUGGUUGGCGUCGGUGCUGGUGGUUCCUGAAGAGAAUACAUUAUACUGUAACUUCCUUUUUUACUGCACUUUAAGUGUCGGCAGGAGCAUCACGGCAGCAUUGUUCAGCAUACCUCAGAAACAACAAUCAAAACAUGACUUGCCAUGAAAAUAAUGCCAACUUUUCCCUUCAACUGAUAAUUCAAUAUUGAUAGUUAAAAUUUACCUGAAAAGACAAUUCACUUACAUUUUGAUUGCAGUGGGUGUGCCUGCAACAUUGUAGCAGUAAAUGAGUUCUUUAGUGGUCCUUUACAGGUCUCAACUAUCUUCUCAGCAGCAUCAUGCAGGUAACUGCUAAGCACCAAGUCCAAGUCCUGGCCAAAUCUUAGCUUCAUUUCGUAAAGUAGCUACAAAAAGGAGAGUAUUUUUUUAAUCUCAAAAGAAAAGUGAUUAGCCAAUCUCGACCAUAUUUCUUUUCACAGAUAGUUGUGCACUUGCUGAUUAACCACUAAAAGUAGCGUAAUUCUCACAUCUGUUCCUAUCUUUAAUGCUAAGACCAACUGUUGACUAUGGUCAUCACCAAAUGCAAUUGGCUUACCAGACAAGGGACUUUUAGGAAUGGACACUGCUGGAAUAGCUCUGCAGCUGUAGAGAUCUUAUAGAUUGGAGUUCGUGCAUGCAGAGUCCUUUCCAUCCUCCACUUGAUGUUCUCAAAAUUUGGCCUGCUUUUGUGUAGCUCUUCAGUGAUGGCUUUCAAGUGUUCAGCAAUACUUUGAGUAUCCUCCGCUUCCACUGGUUCGGUUGAGAGCUUGGGAGAAGUGAAUAAAAGAAAGAAAUAACAAAGAAAAUAAAAUCAGCCCAUAAAAAAGAACUGCAAUGGGAACAUACUGAAUUAAAUACUCUACAAAAGACAA
Molecule: long non-coding RNA, 949 nt
Organism: Alosa sapidissima (American shad)
Lineage: Eukaryota; Metazoa; Chordata; Actinopteri; Clupeiformes; Clupeidae
Exons: 2
Source: RefSeq, a predicted model, not a curated record